CUACGGUGGGCUGCAGUGGGGAAUAUUGCACAAUGGAGGAAACUCUGAUGCAGCAACGCCGCGUGGAGGAUGACACUUUUCGGAGCGUAAACUCCUUUUAUAUAGGAAGAUAAUGACGGUACUAUAUGAAUAAGCACCGGCUAACUCCGUGCCAGCAGCCGCGGUAAUACGGAGGGUGCAAGCGUUACUCGGAAUCACUGGGCGUAAAGAGCGUGUAGGCGGGUUAAUAAGUCAGAAGUGAAAUCCUAUGGCUCAACCAUAGAACUGCUUUUGGAACUGUUAACCUAGAGUGUGGGAGAGGUAGAUGGAAUUUCUGGUGUAGGGGUAAAAUCCGUAGAGAUCAGAAGGAAUACCGAUUGCGAAGGCGAUCUACUGGAACAUAACUGACGCUGAGACGCGAAAGCGUGGGGAGCAAACAGGAUUAGAUACCCCGGUAGUC
This 439-nucleotide ribosomal RNA is filed under the name uncultured bacterium. RNAcentral describes it as "partial 16S ribosomal RNA". It matches the Rfam family "Bacterial small subunit ribosomal RNA", at positions 339 to 795 of the family's 1533-position model. The record is from RNAcentral.